This is a non-coding RNA of Salvia hispanica, 515 nucleotides long. The record is from RefSeq and is a predicted model, not a curated record. Lineage: Eukaryota; Viridiplantae; Streptophyta; Magnoliopsida; Lamiales; Lamiaceae.
GCAAAACAAUGUCCGAUUUGGAGCGCCUCACUUGUAGCGGAAUGGAGGGAGUAAUUGAUAUGGAAUAGGGCAAAGACUACUUCAUACAUGGUCUCAAUCAUUAUAGACGAGGUUCCAAUGGCUUUCACAUAGUGGUAAGUUGGAGGUGAGAGCACAAGUCGAGGUAGCAUUGAAGAUUGACGAUAUGGAGGAGAAUGUCCUUUGUGAAAUUGUGUCUAUAAUUGCUUAUCACUUGCUACUUGGGUGGCCAUGCGAAUAUGCUAAGAGGACGACAUGAAUGGAUACUCCUACAAGGUUAAAGGGAUCAAGGUCAAACGGAAAACUCUUAUGCCACAUGUGUAUUUGAGGCUUACAAACAACUAAAAAGAUAAUAGUGAAAGCAUAAGGGUAAGUUUCAAAGUCAUGUGAGGGUGAGGAUUGUGAGAAAAACACCAAAAGGGAGAUAAGUUUCACACGAUUGUUAUUCAACUCUCGUCUUUUAUAACAACUUAUGUAACACUUGUGCGAUGCACAAA